GUUUGUGUAUGUCCGUGCCCAGACUCAGACAGCCAUAAUUCAAAGCUCUUCGCUGCUAAGCUGGUUAGCAGGCUUAGUGGUCAGCGGCGGCAAACUUCUUCACCUCUUCCUCACCAUUGCAAAGGGCUGGCUAUUCCACGAGCACAGCACUAACAUCUCUGACUGACAACUGGUUUGAAGACAUUGAUAAAAAGAUAUUGGCAUAUAAUUUUGAAGAAGAAGCUACUCAUCCAUCCAUCCAUUUUCUGAGCCGCUUCUCCUCACUAGGGUCGCGGGGGUGCUGGAACCUAUCCCAGCUGUCAUCGGGCAGGAGUCUUACUCCAAUGUCUCCUCAUGGAAGCCUCCACGCAGGGAGGUGUGUUCGUUCUGCCCGCUGGGAUGUCAUCCUGCAGUUUCCCUGGACCAGAACCCUGGGGGGCUCUGCACAAUGUGG
This is a long non-coding RNA of Phyllopteryx taeniolatus (common seadragon), 433 nucleotides long. RefSeq lists it as uncharacterized. The transcript has 4 exons. NCBI's taxonomy places the organism in Eukaryota, Metazoa, Chordata, Actinopteri, Syngnathiformes, Syngnathidae. The record is from RefSeq and is a predicted model, not a curated record.